AAAUGUUUAAGGUGUCCAAAACAGUCCGUGAAUGGAGUCCAACUUUUCUGAUGAAAGCUGUUAGAAAAUUUUAGUUAUGUUCUUGGUGUUUUAACUUGUAUUCCCCCCCUAAAAACUUAAGAAAACAUGAAAAUGUAGGGGUAUGAACUCACCUUGUGUGAUUUCAGUAGAUAAGUGUUGAAGAAGAGAAGUGUUCAACCCAAGAACACUUGAAGAAUCGCUUGAAGAUUCGAAGCUCUAACACAAAUAUAAUGGAGUUUGUGUAAGAUACCCAUGAUUUGAGUGGAAAUAAUUGAGAUAAUCUUAAAGGAAAUGGAUUAUGCUUACCAAAGGUGGAGGAAACUCUCAAGAUCAGCCCUUGAAUCUCGGGUUUCUAGAGAGAGAAAGUGAGAGAGAAAGGAGUUUGAUCUUCUUGUGAAAUGAGAACAAAUGAAAGAAAAUGAGGAGAGAGGAUGGAUAUCCAGCUCUCAAAACAUGGAGAUGGCUUGUGAGGGUGGUAAAAAGUACAAGGUAUGGUGGGGAGGAGUGUGGGUUAAUCAUGGAGUGGGUAUGGGGUUGCUUGUGUCAUACAAUAAGGUAAAGUCAACACUCUACCUUUGUACUUUACCUAACCUUAUUUGGAUAAGAUUUUACCCUUAAAAUAUGAUUAAAUUAUUAAUUUAGGGGUCUUAUAUUUUAAAAUAAAGUUUUGGGUGAAAACCCUAUGUUAAAAUAAUUAAAAAUGGGUUUAAAACGCAAAAAUACGCAAAAACGGGGUGAAAAACGAAUUUUCCAGCGGAAUUCUUCGGACCUAGGCCGAAGUUCGGUCAGAUGAUGCAUGUUUCGGAGGCGAGGGGCGCGAGCCGGAGGGAAGAAGCGAAGCGAGGGCUGGUCCGAGGCUCGGUCCGAAGUGAAGGCGAGAAGCGAAAGCAAGGGUUCGGUCCGAAGUCAGGCAAGGCUCGGUCCGAAGUGAAGGCGAGAAGCGAAAGCAAGGGUUCGGUCCGAAGUCAGGCUAGAACCGAAGGCACUGUUGUGAACAGUGAUGAACAGUACUCUCGGUUCGGACCUUUCUUCUAUGCC
Molecule: long non-coding RNA, 1059 nt
Filed under: Lactuca sativa (garden lettuce)
Lineage: Eukaryota; Viridiplantae; Streptophyta; Magnoliopsida; Asterales; Asteraceae
Description: long non-coding RNA (LSAT_LNC008367)
Source: RNAcentral